RNAcentral lists this transfer RNA (72 nucleotides) under Chloroflexota bacterium. Its description in RNAcentral is "Chloroflexi bacterium tRNA-Arg". It matches the Rfam family "tRNA". From Rfam's summary of the family: Transfer RNA (tRNA) molecules are approximately 80 nucleotides in length. Lineage: Bacteria; Bacillati; Chloroflexota. RNAcentral also lists the same sequence under 2 other names. The record is from RNAcentral.
GACCCCGUAGCUCAGUGGAUAGAGCAGUGGACUUCGAAUCCAUGUGCGAGGGUCCGAUUCCCUCCGGGGUCG